GAUGAACGCUGGCGGUGUGCCUAAUACAUGCAAGUCGAGCGGUAACACUUCGGGUGACGAGCGGCGGACGGCUGAGUAACGCGUAGGAACAUACCCCGAACUGAGGGAUAAGCAUCGGAAACGGUGUCUAAUACCGCAUGUGAUCUUCGGAUUAAAGCUUCGGCGGUUUGGGAAUGGCCUGCGUAUGAUUAGGUAGUUGGUGAGGUAAAAGCUCACCAAGCCGACGAUCAUUAGCUGGUCUGAGAGGAUGAUCAGCCAGACUGGGACUGA
RNAcentral lists this ribosomal RNA (270 nucleotides) under uncultured bacterium. RNAcentral describes it as "partial 16S ribosomal RNA". It matches the Rfam family "Bacterial small subunit ribosomal RNA", at positions 28 to 322 of the family's 1533-position model. The record is from RNAcentral.